UCCUGGCUCAGGACACGCUGGCGGCGUGCUUAACACAUGCAAGUCGAACGAUGAACCAGGGCUUGCCCUGGGGAUUAGUGGCGAACGGGUGAGUAACACGUGGGCAACCUGCCCCAGACACCGGGAUAACCUCUCGAAAGAGUGGCUAAUACCGGAUAUGACCACUUCGGGCAUCCGACGGUGGUGGAAAGGAUUCUGGUCUGGGAUGGGCCCGCGGCCUAUCAGCUAGUUGGUGGGGUAAUGGCCUACCAAGGCGACGACGGGUAGCCGGCCUGAGAGGGCGACCGGCCACACUGGGACUGAGACACGGCCCAGACUCCUACGGGAGGCAGCAGUGGGGAAUAUUGCGCAAUGGGCGAAAGCCUGACGCAGCGACGCCGCGUGAGGGACGAAGGUCUUCGGAUUGUAAACCUCUUUCAGCAGGGACGAAGCGAAAGUGACUGUACCUGCAGAAGAAGCACCGGCUAACUACGUG
RNAcentral lists this ribosomal RNA (475 nucleotides) under uncultured bacterium. RNAcentral's name for it is "bacterial SSU rRNA". It matches the Rfam family "Bacterial small subunit ribosomal RNA", at positions 17 to 507 of the family's 1533-position model. The record is from RNAcentral.